CGUAGGUGACCUGCGGAGGGAUCAUUUACACAAAUAUGAAGGCGGGCUGGAACCUCUCGGGGUUACAGCCUUGCUGAAUUAUUCACCCUUGUCUUUUGCGUACUUCUUGUUUCCUUGGUGGGUUCGCCCACCACUAGGACAAACAUAAACCUUUUGUAAUUGCAAUCAGCGUCAGUAACAAAUUAAUAAUUACAACUUUCAACAACGGAUCUCUUGGUUCUGGCAUCGAUGAAGAACGCAGCGAAAUGCGAUAAGUAGUGUGAAUUGCAGAAUUCAGUGAAUCAUCGAAUCUUUGAACGCACAUUGCGCCCUUUGGUAUUCCAAAGGGCAUGCCUGUUCGAGCGUCAUUUGUACCCUCAAGCUUUGCUUGGUGUUGGGCGUCUUGUCUCUAGCUUUGCUGGAGACUCGCCUUAAAGUAAUUGGCAGCCGGCCUACUGGUUUCGGAGCGCAGCACAAGUCGCACUCUCUAUCAGCAAAGGUCUAGCAUCCAUUAAGCCUUUUUUUCAACUUUUGACCUCGGAUCAGGUAGGGAUACCCGCUGAACUUAAGCAUAUCA
RNAcentral lists this ribosomal RNA (556 nucleotides) under Alternaria alternata. Its description in RNAcentral is "eukaryotic LSU rRNA". The stretch from base 194 to 347 matches the Rfam family "5.8S ribosomal RNA". Lineage: Eukaryota; Fungi; Ascomycota; Dothideomycetes; Pleosporales; Pleosporaceae. The record is from RNAcentral.